CGUAGGGUGCAAGCGUUGUCCGGAAUUAUUGGGCGUAAAGAGCUCGUAGGCGGCUUGUCGCGUCUGCUGUGAAACUCAGGGCUCAACCCUGAGCUGGCAGUGGGUACGGGCAGGCUAGAGUGCAGUAGGGGAGACUGGAAUUCCUGGUGUAGCGGUGAAAUGCGCAGAUAUCAGGAGGAACACCGGUGGCGAAGGCGGGUCUCUGGGCUGUUACUGACGCUGAGGAGCGAAAGCGUGGGAGCGAACAGGAUU
RNAcentral lists this ribosomal RNA (252 nucleotides) under uncultured bacterium. Its description in RNAcentral is "partial 16S ribosomal RNA". It matches the Rfam family "Bacterial small subunit ribosomal RNA", at positions 526 to 779 of the family's 1533-position model. The record is from RNAcentral.